UGGCGGACGGGUGAGUAAUGUCUGGGAAACUGCCUGAUGGAGGGGGGAUAACUACUGGAAACGGUAGCUAAUACCGCAUAACGUCGCAAGACCAAAGAGGGGGACCUUCGGGCCUCUUGCCAUCGGAUGUGCCCAGAUGGGAUUAGCUGGUAGGUGGGGUAACGGCUCACCUAGGCGACGAUCCCUAGCUGGUCUGAGAGGAUGACCAGCCACACUGGAACUGAGACACGGUCCAGACUCCUACGGGAGGCAGCAUG
Molecule: ribosomal RNA, 257 nt
Filed under: uncultured bacterium
Lineage: Bacteria
Description: partial 16S ribosomal RNA
Rfam family: Bacterial small subunit ribosomal RNA
Source: RNAcentral